GAUGAACGCUGGCGGCGUGCCUAACACAUGCAAGUCGAGCGAACGGACGAGAAGCUUGCUUCUUUGAUGUUAGCGGAGGACGGGUGAGAAACAUGAGGAUAACCUACCUAUAAGACUGGGAUAACCUCGGGAAACGGGAGAUAAUACCGGAUGAUAUUUUGAUCCGUAUGGUUCAAAAGAGAAAGACGGUCUUGCUGUAACUAAUAGAGGGAUACGCGCUGCAUUAGCUAGUUGGUAAGGUAAAGGCUUACGAAGGCAAGUAUGCAUAGCCGACCGGAGAGGGGGGUCGGCCACACGAGAGCGGGGACGCGGACCAUACUCCUACGAUAGGCAGCAGUAGGAUAUCUUCCGCAAUGGGCGAGAACCUUGCGCAGCAGCGCCACGUGAGUUGUAAAAGUCUUCGGUUCGUAAUGCUCUGUUAUUAGUGAAGAACAUAUUUGGAAUUUACUGAGCACAUCUUGACGGUACCUAAUCAGAAAGCCACGGCUAACUAUGUG
RNAcentral lists this ribosomal RNA (497 nucleotides) under uncultured bacterium. Its description in RNAcentral is "partial 16S ribosomal RNA". It matches the Rfam family "Bacterial small subunit ribosomal RNA", at positions 28 to 507 of the family's 1533-position model. The record is from RNAcentral.